This 63-nucleotide transfer RNA is filed under the name Fasciolopsis buskii. RNAcentral describes it as "Fasciolopsis buski tRNA-Thr". The record is from RNAcentral. Lineage: Eukaryota; Metazoa; Platyhelminthes; Trematoda; Plagiorchiida; Fasciolidae.
GGGAGAUUAGUUUAUUUUUAGAAUAUUGCUUUUGUAAAGCAGUGGUAUUUUUGGUAUCUUCCA